GCAUAUCAAAAAGCGGAGGAAAAGAAACCAACAGGGAUUGCCUCAGUAACGGCGAGUGAAGCGGCAAAAGCUCAAAUUUGAAACCCUCGGGAUUGUAAUUUGAAGAUUUGGCAUUGGAGAAAGCUAACCCAAGUUGCUUGGAAUAGUACGUCAUAGAGGGUGACAACCCCGUCUGGCUAACCGUUCUCCAUGUAUUGCCUUAUCAAAGAGUCGAGUUGUUUGGGAAUGCAGCUCAAAGUGGGUGGUAAACUCCAUCUAAAGCUAAAUACUGGUGAGAGACCGAUAGCGAACAAGUACUGUGAAGGAAAGGUGAAAAGAACUUUGAAAAGAGAGUGAAAUAGUAUGUGAAAUUGUUGAUAGGGAAGGAAAUGAGUGGAGAGUGGCCGAGGUUUCAGCCGCCCCUCGUGGGCGGUGUACUGCCGACGCCGAGUCAUCGAUAGCGAGACGAGGGUUACAAAUGGGAGCGCCUUUCGGGCGUUCUCCCCUAACCCUCCACACUGCCACCGACGACAUAAUCCACCCAUUUCACCCGUCUUGAACCACG
RNAcentral lists this ribosomal RNA (544 nucleotides) under Yarrowia lipolytica. RNAcentral's name for it is "eukaryotic LSU rRNA". It matches the Rfam family "Eukaryotic large subunit ribosomal RNA", at positions 38 to 663 of the family's 3401-position model. The record is from RNAcentral. Lineage: Eukaryota; Fungi; Ascomycota; Dipodascomycetes; Dipodascales.